CCUACGGGAGGCAGCAGUGGGGAAUAUUGGGCAAUGGGCGAAAGCCUGACCCAGCGACGCCGCGUGAGGGACGAAGGCCUUCGGGUUGUAAACCUCUUUCAGCAGGGAAGAAGCGAAAGUGACGGUACCUGCAGAAGAAGCACCGGCUAACUACGUGCCAGCAGCCGCGGUAAUACGUAGGGUGCAAGCGUUGUCCGGAAUUAUUGGGCGUAAAGAGCUCGUAGGUGGUUUGCCACGUCGGAUGUGAAAACCUGAGGCUUAACCUCAGGCCUGCAUUCGAUACGGGCAGACUAGAGUGUGGUAGGGGAGACUGGAAUUCCUGGUGUAGCGGUGAAAUGCGCAGAUAUCAGGAGGAACACCGGUGGCGAAGGCGGGUCUCUGGGCCAUAACUGACACUGAGGAGCGAAAGCGUGGGGAGCAAACAGGAUUAGAUACCCUGGUAGUCCACGCCGUAAACGGUGGGCACUAGAUGUGGGGACCUUCCGACGGUCUCUGCGUCGCAGCUAACGCAUUAAGUGCCCCGCCUGGGGAGUACGGCCGCAAGGCUAAAACUCAAAGGAAUUGACGG
This 568-nucleotide ribosomal RNA is filed under the name uncultured bacterium. RNAcentral describes it as "bacterial SSU rRNA". It matches the Rfam family "Bacterial small subunit ribosomal RNA", at positions 338 to 916 of the family's 1533-position model. The record is from RNAcentral.